UACGAAGGGUGCAAGCGUUACUCGGAAUUACUGGGCGUAAAGCGUGCGUAGGUGGUUUGUUAAGUCUGCUGUGAAAGCCCCGGGCUCAACCUGGGAAUGGCAGUGGAUACUGGCAAGCUAGAGUGCGGUAGAGGGUAGUGGAAUUCCCGGUGUAGCGGUGAAAUGCGUAGAGAUCCGGAGGAACACCAGUGGCGAAGGCGACACGCUGGGCCGUACCUGACACUGAUGCGCGACAGCAUGGGGAGCAAACAGG
RNAcentral lists this ribosomal RNA (253 nucleotides) under uncultured bacterium. RNAcentral's name for it is "partial 16S ribosomal RNA". It matches the Rfam family "Bacterial small subunit ribosomal RNA", at positions 524 to 776 of the family's 1533-position model. The record is from RNAcentral.